This is a non-coding RNA of Arthrobacter sp., 74 nucleotides long. Lineage: Bacteria; Bacillati; Actinomycetota; Actinomycetes; Micrococcales; Micrococcaceae. The record is from Rfam.
CGCGGUCCUCGGUAGUGGCCUCCGGGAAGAGACGCCUCGCGUUUCGCGCCCGUGGGCCUCGAUCGAAGACCGGA